AUAUCAUGUUCUCAUGAUGAACACUGGACUAAGAUUUAAACCUCCUGUGCUCUAAUUUUACUUGUACGUGAGAAGCUAUCUCAAAGAAAUACGAUAGAAGCUGAAAAUCCCGAUGUCACAAAGGAGGAAGCCAUUCCUUUAUUUGGAAAACCCGAGUCAGCGUAUUACUUUUAAAGCAAGGCUACCACCUAGUGGUCUUCAUUUAUAACGACUGGCUGCAGCUACAGAUUUUGCAAAAAGAUACCCACAUGAGGAAAAAUAACACUCACUUCUGCUUCUGCUUAUUGCUAACAGUAUCAGUCUUUGAACAAGCAAAGCUCAUGUAUAUUUCAACAGAAGAAAUUUUGAAUCAAACAAAGACUUAUUUGAAUUUAUGUAUAGCUGGCAUAACAGCUGCUGAAUAAUAUACAAAAUUGCAAUACAAUUGGUUUGUAGAAGCCAAAUUGUGGAGACGCUAACUGCUGGAGACGUGUCUUGUUAAUAGAGAAUCACAAACCCAGGAGUCUGUGUUACAGUCCCUCUGUUUGACAUGCAUGAGGUUACUGGGUACUGCUGUUUUCUGGCAGCAAUACUCUGACACAAAUAAGAAGCAUGGCAAACAGUUGAUUGUCUUCACUGAUGCUAAAGUUUGUUCAAUAUAGAUUUCUAGGAAGCAUCUGGAGUUUCCACACUGAAAAGACUAUUUUUGUGGCAUGUGCCAAGACACUGAAAGUAAUGCUGCCUCGGGGAAAGGAUCACAGAUGCUCCUUGAUUUCUCACUGAGGUCCUCUUUCAAAUAAACUCUCUUCUUUUAUCACAUCAGUUUAAUGUCCUGAAAUUUGCUACUCAGCUAGUGACCUUCUUCUAUUUCACAGAUAUUUUUGAAAAAAUGAGGACGAAUGAGAAAAGGAAUUGAGAAGAUUAUUGUUCAUAGCUUAAAGAUGAGAAAAC
Cygnus olor (mute swan) is the source of this 930-nucleotide long non-coding RNA. RefSeq lists it as uncharacterized. The record is from RefSeq and is a predicted model, not a curated record. NCBI's taxonomy places the organism in Eukaryota, Metazoa, Chordata, Aves, Anseriformes, Anatidae. The transcript has 4 exons.